Molecule: ribosomal RNA, 279 nt
Filed under: uncultured bacterium
Lineage: Bacteria
Description: partial 16S ribosomal RNA
Rfam family: Bacterial small subunit ribosomal RNA
Source: RNAcentral
UGCCAGCAGCCGCGGUAAUACGGAGGGGGCAAGCGUUAUUCGGAAUUAUUGGGCGUAAAGGGCGUGUAGGCGGCCUCGUAUGUCCUCUGUGAAAGCCCUCGGCUUAACCGAGGAACUGCAGGGGAAACUGCGGGGCUCGAGUCCGGGAGAGGAGAGCGGAAUUCCCAGUGUAGCGGUGAAAUGCGUAGAUAUUGGGAGGAACACCCGUGGCGAAGGCGGCUCUCUGGACCGGUACUGACGCUGAGACGCGAAAGCUAGGGGAGCAAACGGGAUUAGAUA